Zea mays is the source of this 556-nucleotide long non-coding RNA. RefSeq lists it as uncharacterized. The record is from RefSeq and is a predicted model, not a curated record. The transcript is spliced from 3 exons. NCBI's taxonomy places the organism in Eukaryota, Viridiplantae, Streptophyta, Magnoliopsida, Poales, Poaceae.
GCACUACCCUUUUAUCUAGUCGCUGCAGGGCCAGGGCAGUGAAGUCUCUUCCCGUUCUUGAGUUCUAGCGAGAGUGCAUCGUGUGAGUGUUGUGGUUCAUGUUCACGUCGGUGUUUACUCUCCCCGGCCAUCAGUGUCUCGUCGGGAACGCCGCGGUGCCGCCGGUGAACGCCGCUGGGAACGGUCUCGCCGUGGCAGACCUUGUCUGGGGCCGGUUGCGUGCGUGAUCUGGGGUUGGUCUGCUCUGUGGUGAGUCGCAAGUGCCUGCUCCACCAUGGUUGGGAACUCUACUGCAUCGUCAUUCCGGCUUAACACCAUCGAAGUUGGAAGCCGCCGACACGCGCAGAGGAAGCGCGGGCGCGCGCGGUGCUGGAGCCUAGGGCUGUAAGCGCUGUCUGAGUGGGCCGGUUUUGCCUGGAGUUGGGCUGGCUGGAACACCAAGAACAAGAAUUGGUCCUUGUGAAGAUGGAACCUACUCCAGUGCUAUUGAUCCAGUGGUGGACUCCAUCUAACUGCCUAUCGUGAUAGAAGAUCUCAGAUCUCCUCCUGUAAUAAG